Molecule: ribosomal RNA, 496 nt
Filed under: uncultured bacterium
Lineage: Bacteria
Description: partial 16S ribosomal RNA
Rfam family: Bacterial small subunit ribosomal RNA
Source: RNAcentral
AUGAACGCUGGCGGCGUGCCUAAUACAUUCAAGUCGAGCGAACAGACGAGGAGCUUGCUCCUCUGACGUUAGCGGCGGACGGGUGAGUAACACGUGGAUAACCUACCUAUAAGACUGGGAUAACUUCGGGAAACCGGAGCUAAUACCGGAUAAUAUCUUGAACCGCAUGGUUCCAUAGUGAAAGACGGUUUUGCUGUCACUUAUAGAUGGAUCCGCGCCGCAUUAGCUAGUUGGUAAGGUAACGGCUUACCAAGGCGACGAUGCGUAGCCGACCUGAGAGGGUGAUCGGCCACACUGGAACUGAGACACGGUCCAGACUCCUACGGGAGGCAGCAGUAGGGAAUCUUCCGCAAUGGGCGAAAGCCUGACGGAGCAACGCCGCGUGAGUGAUGAAGGUCUUCGGAUCGUAAAACUCUGUUAUUAGGGAAGAACAAAUGUGUAAGUAACUAUGCACGUCUUGACGGUACCUAAUCAGAAAGCCACGGCUAACUACGUG